CCCCCCUGCCCGCCCUGUGAGGAGCUGCGUUAGCCAGGCCGGCCGGCGGCAUGCUCGGUUCUGUGCUCAGAAUUCGUUAAUCCCCUCAGGUGAUUUGUUCUCGCCUCCCUCCCCCGGACGGGGGAAGCGGUGGGGUCAGAGCGGCGUCCUGCUGUGGCCUGAGAGUCACAUCACACCAUCUGCAAGUCACCUCCCUAGUCUUUCUGGACCAUCCACAGCAGAGCCUGGGAAGAUUUUCCACCUGUGAUUCUCAGAGGAAGCUAGUCAGUUCCCAGAGCUAUGUUCCUGGUGAAGAUGUGGCAGGUAUCUUCCAAAGGAUUUUGUUGUCUUUUACAGUAUACUGGAGAUGGGAUUCAAAGACUUUUUUUUUUUUUUUUUCUUGUCCCCCUCUAGAUUUUCUAGUAACUCCCAGCACAGGAGUGUGAACUUCCAUCAAAACAUAUUAUCAUAAACCAAAGCACUAAAUCCACAGAUGGGGAACUGUGAGAGCUAGCUUCAGGUCCUUAAAAUUGCAGUUGUUGGUGUAUGACAGAGACCCUAAAUAUUGAAUACAAACAUUAGCAUUUACACUGGAAGUUAGAAAUAGAAUCCUCCAAAGGCAAAGCCAUAAGUGACUUGGGGAAGCUGUAGCAACUAUUCCUGUAAGAUCUGGAAUAGUGUGAAGGACAACUUUGGAAGAGUUUAUUUAAAAGCUAUUUUGUAGCAUUUUCCUUUUUUUUUUUCUUUUAUCUUAAGGGGUGGGCAGAAAGGCAGGGGUAUUUUUUCUUGCUGUUUCUGAACCAUGCACACUGAAGCAAGAGCUCAAGUGUAAGACAAAGACUGUUUUUAAAAUGGUUUGGUUGUACUGCCUGCUUGGUGAUAUUUUUUGAAGUACAUUUGCUGAAGAUUUAUGUAAAAUCUAUCUUUUGUCUACUUAAAAUACGUCAAAUGGAUGUACAGGGCAAAAUUUAAUGCAUAUGGGUUUUCAUUAUUUUAAAUCAUUUGCAAUAUAAGUGAUUUACUGUGACAUCAAACAUUUGUUCUUUGGCUGUCCACCAUAAAUUGAGGUCCACCCAAAUUUCCACUCCUAGCUAUAUUUCUGCAUUCCCUCCCCCAGUAUCUAUAACCUCAGUUCCGUGAUUCUUCAUGUAAAUGACUUUCAACAAGGAGAGGAGGAGAACACAUAAUUUGCCUUAAUACAGGUAAUUUUGAAAGAAGAGCGAGACCUUUACAUGAGAAAUAGUUGACAGCUAUGGAAAGGGGAGAACUAAUGCAUGUAGAAGACAAAGUCAUUCCUGAUGAGAGUGGUGAGAGCUACUGAUCAACCAGAUGUGACCAAAUGGACUUUUUGUGCAGUUGAAACUGCCAGGGGUGAUAGACUUCUAUCUUUCGCUUUCUGAGUUUUUUCAUGUCUUUUUAGCAUCGUUACAUUUAUAAUACAAUUAAUCCAACCCCAACCAGUUAAUCUGAGGUAAGCCAGUUUGCCCAAGGUCAUUCUGAAAGUCCAUAGUGCAAAACUGGUGACAUGUGACACCCAGAACUGUGCUCUCAUGACAAACCUUCUCCUAACAGCUGUAAAAGCCUUGAGACACUCAGACUUGUUGAAAGACCUUGUGGGAAACCACAUUCAUUAUAGCUUUUACUGGUUGUGUCAUGUCAGUUAAUAGGACACAGACCUUUGGACCCGUCGGUAGCCUGUAUUUGAAGCCUUCCCAGUUCAGUAGUUACUGAAAAUUGGUGCUACAUGGUAGCUCUUCAGCAGCCUACGCUACAGGGAUUAACCACCUGAACUCAGCCCAGUUUCUCAUCCACGGAUGUCUUCUCAAAACCUACUAAGUUAGCAGACUGUGUUGAGAUCCUAAUUUCUAUCCACUCAAUUGAAAGACAGUUCAGUUCGAACCAAACAUAUUCUUGCAGGCUUCCCCCACCUAUACCACAUAUCUAAGCUUUGCCAUGACUCCUUCUCGCUGCCAAAGGAUUUCACUAUUAUUGCCUACUCAUGCCUUAUUAAAAAGGCAUCCCAAAUUUGAACUAUCUAAAGAUUUGUAGCAAUUCUGAAUGAUAUUAUAAACUUCAGCAACAUCCUGAAGGCAAUCUCGCUUCUGACAUCCAGACUAUCUGCCCAAUCCUACAGCUACAACUGUCUGACAAUCACCAUUUACAUAUUUGAUGUCUUUCCCACAAUGCUAGUCCUAAACAGCCCUGCCAAUGAUCUUAAUCCUGAAGUCAGAGCAGGUUUAGAUGCUGUGGUGGGCCUGCAUGCGCUCAUCUUCAUUCUAGCCUCCAGUGGCUCUACUCCUGCAAGAUCCAAUUCAGAAAAAUGUUAGCACAGCUCUGAUUUAUGUGCAAAAGUGCAAAGGAGAGCAGAAGCUUUUAGUAUCUUGGGAAGUGGUUAGGAAUUAAGGCCAAAGAAAGGACAGUCAUGUCCAUUAUAUCCUUUAAAAAAAAAAAAAAAAAAAAAAAU
Anas platyrhynchos (mallard) is the source of this 2443-nucleotide non-coding RNA. NCBI's taxonomy places the organism in Eukaryota, Metazoa, Chordata, Aves, Anseriformes, Anatidae. The record is from RefSeq and is a predicted model, not a curated record.